ACACAGCAACAAAAUGUGAUGGAAUAUUUGUGGUAAGGUUCAGCCUCUACUGCCAUACCAUCAACAUCCGCCUCUGAUGUUGUGAGUCAACAUAAUAAUAUAGGAGGCAUUACUUUUGGAGCAGGCCUGACGGGAAAUAAUACUCCCCGUUGUUCUUGUGCAGGUAGUUCCUACAUGCUUAAGUUAGGAAUUUUUAAGUUUGGUCUUAAAAUACCAUAUAUCUGUCUCUGAGAGAAACUAAAGCUUCACAGAUCACAGCUGAAGACAGCCUCAGAAGAAAUGAGUGGUGAUUUGACUUUUACAACUUAUUCUUUCUGAGUGAAACUUGUUUAAGCAUGCUGGGCCUUCAUGAAAACCCUCUGCAACUCCUUAAAAAGAAUGUGAGGGGUGAGUGAAGGAUAAUUUUUUCAAUCACAGUAUGUUAUAAGUCUACUUCUUUCUCUUUUUUUCCUUUUGCAUUGUUUCCUUUUAGUAUUUUAUCUGGCUUUCUGUUUCCCUGUUUAAGAAAUCCAUGCUACAUGAAUGUGCAUUUGUCCAUUUCCAACAUGUUUGUUACUAAUAAUGAAAAGUAUUCAAACUGUAAAUGCCAAGACUUCAAUAUGUGAUUAAAGCAUUGGAAAUGAUUUAUGAAAUUAUCACUAUUAAUAGAUCUGCAAAAUUCUCAGCCAGAUUAUCAGUCAAACUUACAAUAAUUUGUACCAGCACUUAAUAUUUUUUUUUCAGACUCUACUAGUCAUGGACAGAAAUUUAUCAUAUGAUUCAUAACUAAUCAGAAUAGUGCCAGUAACACCAUGUAUUAUACAAUUAUGUAAAUUGUCAAGCAGUAGAAUCUAAAGUUAAUGCCUUAAUUAAAAGCCACAAAUGGCCAUAUGAAGUGAACUUCAAAGAUCCAUAUAUGUGAGUUAAGGGAAACCUUUUAAAAUGUUGAUUCUAUUUUUCUACCUUCCAUUUCCCUUAUUAACCUCAAAAAAGAGGCAAACUUUCACUGGAAUGCUCUUUGCCUAUCCUGCUUAUAGAAACUAUAGCAUUAUUUUGUGCCAUUGGUUGUGGAGCAGACAGAAGUGUGUUGUGUCCCUUUUUUUUCUUUUAAUUUGAGAAUCUUUGGUUUCCAUUGAAGUAUUAGUGAAGGCUGGGAGUGCUACCUUUAUAUAUGACUUGGAGCAGUCAUAAUCACCCUUUCUUUGAGAGACGGUAUGAUGCAAAUGUUCAGCAGAGGACAUGCAUUCGUGAUAUGGGAUAAUAGGGUUUUAAUUAUCACAACAUGCUUUUAAUGUUUGAGAUGUAUAAAUUCCCUGUACAUUAUUCUUAGUAACUGAAAUUCAGUAAUUUUAAAGAUUUGAAUUUUGUAUAAGUUGUUUGAAUUUAGAAGGAAAGCGUGUUGAAUGUAUCCUCUGACUACAGAAAUUAGUUACUAGCUACAAAGAGUUAGAGAAAGAGAGAGAAGAGGUGUUUCAUCAUGUGAAUUUUACCUUUUUAGUCCUGACUUAAAGUCAUCUUCAGGAGCUCUCAUACAAUGUUAUUCCUCUUUGCUUUGAUGAUGUAUUUCAAACGCAAAAACUACAACAGAUCAUCAAAGGUAGGAUUCUGACCCACACACUUCUGAAGUCAUCAUACUUAUGGAUUGCAUAUAAUAGCACACACUGUGCCCUGAUAACAAAAAGAAUGCUCUGAUAUUUUAAAAGAAAUUUCCCAUGCCUUUAGUCUUAAAUAUCUUCUAAAGUAUCAAACCAAAUCCAUCUGCAUGUUUAUUCUGAAACAAUUGCAUUAGUGAAAAAUGUGAAGAGAAAUCAGAUUUUCCAGAAGCUGAGAAGAGAGUUAAGAUUCUUAAAAAGAGAAUGGCUUGCAUAUGAGGCUAAAGAUCCUAUUCAAAGCCAGGAAGACAAUCUGGAUAUUUUCCAAAAGCAAGAUUAACAUACAUUCAAAAUAAACUUGCAUCACACUGUGAUGCUAGCAUGUCCUUUCCUUUAAAAAGCAUUGAACAGCUGAGAAUCAUUCACCUUACUUUAACAGACAUUUUUUGAGGGAAAAGGGACAAAGACAAUAUUAAUUUUUAAGUAGAGUGAGCACAAGAAAUCUGAUGCCAGUCUGCCCUUUCUGCUCCUUGGAUUGUGUUGAGCAAAUUCCCAAGACAUCGUUCUGAAUAUAUAUCCUUUCGAUUGAAAAGAAAAAAAAAAAAAGGGCAAAAACCCACCCUCUUGAAUCCUACUGUUUCAGUUCCCUGUGUUAAUCUUCUGGUUUGAUUUAGGAAUGUGCUGCUUGGUUCCCAUGUGCAUUGUUGUUGUAGUAUUUACUUUGGAAGGAAAAGUAAGUAUAUGGUUCACGCCUUAACCUUGUCAGGCUUCCCCCUUACCAACUUGAACUGACACCACAGAAAUUCUGAAAGGAAAGGCCACAGCCAAAAUUAAUCAUAAACAUUAACCAUAAAAUAUUACUCUUGACCUUACCAAGGGGCAGACCUCUAGGAAUAACAUCCUGCUCCUUAAAAAAAUAACAUCCCUCUCCAACUGAGAGGAGCAGACGGUCUCAUCUAUGCAUGACGGACAUGCUGACCUGUGCCUCAGGGAGUAACAUCUGAUUUCAACUCAGAGGGUAAUAAGCACUCCAGGUCUUACAUUAUGGAUGUCCUUCACCAAACAGCCCCAUAGAUAAGCUCUGGCAGCUUCUACGUUCUGCAAAAAACAGGGCCUGUCCAAGGUGGUGCUAAAAGGUUAGAUUUUUAUGCAAGGCCAAACAGACUAAGGCUGAAACUAGAAAAAUUAGAGCUGCCACCCCAGCUUCCAGUUUGUUUUGGCCAACAAGAAGCCCUGAUGAAAGCCAACAGUCUGUUGCUCCUUUGUAACAUUCCACACUGGUAGAUUCUGUGCUUAGCUUAUUCUUAAAGGCACAUUCCACAGAUUGGAAAAGCCAUUUUCAAAGCUAUCAAUCAGUAUGCUGUUCAGCAGCAAACUAAUUUAAGGCAAGCCUCAGAAAUCAGAAAAAUCCAGAACCAAAACCUGGUGCCCAAUGCUAAUUUUAUUUAGAAAAGAAAUAACAGAUCAAAGAGCAAUUUAUUUUAUUGGAAGUCACGGAAUAUGAGAAUUAGGUGCUUCAAUCAAGCAAGAACUGCAACACUGAAUGAAGCAUUUUCUAAAGAUCACCCAAAAAAAUCUAGGAAUGGAACAAUAAACCAGAUUGCUUCCCAGGAGAAGUUGGUAGUAUUGGCACAGACAGUGACAGAUUUCAGCAGCAAGCUGUUGAACUUACAUCAAGGAUGUACUGCAGAUAUAUUUCUGUUGUUGCACUUUUCCCCACAUUCAUUCUAUUGCAAGGACAAGAUGCAGGUAGCACCUAUACCCAUGCUGCAGAGGGCUCUCUUCAGCAUAAAAAUCUUUUGCACACAUCACCUCUCCAAGUGAUCUUUGUCUUCCUUUUUCCAAUAUAUCAGUCCCAGAUGGAAACUGAGCUACUUGGUGAGACAGGCAGGUUAAGCAGAAAGAGAACUGGAGAGAGUCAAAUAAUGUUCCUAAAUGUUGGAGCACUCAAUAAUGUGAUGUAAUUUUCAUAGAAAAUUAAAGGAAAAUUUUACUGAUAACCCUUGUUUUUCCCUAUACUGGGACAAAAAGUAAAGUUUGUCUCACCCAUUGAUGUUCAAUAAAGAACACUGAGCUUUUGCAUUUAAAUUAUUAUUGGUAACCAUAAAGCUUAUUUAAGAUCUCUCUGCCACACUGGCAUGCAGAUAAACCCACAGGAAGUGAAUGUGACAGAUUUGAUGGAGAUGGCAUAGGUUAUUGCAGUGCGAUCUGCUGAGUGAAUGACUUAAGGUGAGUAAAUAUUCCCACAGGAAUUGAUUUAUACUUGAUUUGUUCUUGUGUAGUCUUGCGUAGUCUAUUCAACAAAUAUCUAACAAAAAACUGUACCCUACCCAGAUGUCUUAUUUCUGACUACGCAAUAUGUUUUCUCAAACUGAGUAUACUUCUACUUUUACACUAAUGCCAAUACAUCACUCCUGUUAUUAAUAAGCUAUUUAUACACAUCCUGACAGCAGACUAGACCUCAUCUUUAAGAUCAGUACCUGAUGCACAUAUUUCUUCCCUCUUGCCCUCUGUUUCUUUCCACCAUCCAUCAUGCUGACUCUUACUUCCUAUCCUAUCCUGUGAAAUAGACACUACCUUCUUUUUUCACCAACAGUAAAAACAGAUCAAGGUGGUUCCAUGUGUUGGUAAAGAUAAAUGUCGAGACUAAAAUCUUUCCUUGUGGGGCUUCCAUUAAAUUUCAUUGGGUAGCAUUCACACACCUUUCAAUUAUGAUGCACAAAGGCUGGUGUUGCAAAAGGUUUUCGGAGUCUUAUAACAUCUUGCCUCUUUAGGAAAGCGCUCUUCUUAAUUGAAAUCAAAUGCCAUUUAAACCUCUAUGUUCUGUGACUUAGUUGUCCAGUCUUACGGUACGGGUGGUAUAUUUUGUCUAAGAGAAGACUGACCAAAGAUGCACGGAAUCAUGCAAACAGUACUUCAGUGUACUUGUGAUGAAUAAAGACAGUAGACUGCAUUAAAGACAUUUUCAUUCUGGAGGUGAGACAAAGAUAAUGAAGAAAAGAUGAGAGGACACAUUUGAACCUAAGGCAGUUCUCACUGGGGGAGAUUUUUCAUUUGCCCAGCUUCUCCCUUGGGGUGAGGAAAUUGGAAGUCUCUCACUUGUCAUGGUAAUGUCAUGGUAAUUUAUUAUUCUAUAUGUGUGUGUAGUGUUUUGUUCGUGGUAAUGAAUGAAAAUACUGGGUUCUGAAUAAAGGAAGUUCUGUUUUAUGAAGAACGUUGUUGUGAGAACUAAACUUGGUGGUAGAGGAGUAGGGAGGCCCUUGACUUCUGAUAACCCUUCCACGCUACUAGUGGAAGUAAAUCUGCCAGGGCAUCUGUCUAAUCAGUUGGCUGAGAACUGGCAUUUUCACCACCAGAAUAAGUCAGAAUUUCCUUCAGAGGAAAAUUGACUUUGACUUUUUGAACUUUCAGACUACUGGGCUGAUCAGAGUGAAAACAAUUGUUUAAAGACAUCAUGCAUGGGUCUGAGGGACAGAUGGCUCUCAAAUAUGCCAGAGAAUUACGAUAAGAUAUUCAGGCUGCAUACCGUAACUUUUUUUUUCUAUUUGUUUCCUUUUAAUCGUUGCUCUUUCUCUAUUGUUUGUUCCCAGUCUCAAUUGCUUUUCAUCAUUUCUCAGUAAUAGUGAAUAUAUAAGAUACUCUGCUAGAAACCUGAGACCACUUACUAAGCAGCCUUAGACUGCUUAUUAUUAUCAUGUUCACAGAGCAAUGGCCUUCUUGGACCUGAAUAUCCAAACUGAAGGCAAGACCUCCUAGAUAUUGUGGUUCCUCAGAGGCUUUCACUUGUGUCCAUCCUUUUAAAACACAUUCUGUAUACAAAGAAUCCUAAAUGCUACUUAAAGGUGAAAUUAAAGAUCUACAUAGAUUAAGCUCCCAAUGCAAGGGAAGGCUGAACUUUUCUUUCAACUCCUGCUGCUUAAUGUUGAUUUAAUAUAUUGUCUUGACUUCUAAUAAGGUUAUUGAAAGAUAAAAGCAUAUAAGGAGCUGUGCCACAGAUGCGACAGUCAGAACUUCAUAUGCAAAAUAAAAAGAGACAUUAUAGUAAAAAGAAAAUUGAAUGUUGCUUGUAUAAAAUCUGGCUUUGUUUUGAUGCAUAAAACAGCAAACAUUGUUCCACACUGAGGUUUUCAAGAAUGUCUUAAGUAUACAAUGCUUCUGAUGCCACCCCAGUUGCCUAUAUAUAGAUCUGUCUUGUGUAAAGAAUUUAAAAAGCAUUAGAAUGGAGAAAUCAAAGAGACAAUAAAUUUUAAACCAAUCUUAUUGUCUGCAGCCUUAAGUGUUAUUAAGAUCAAAGUGGAGCAAACAUCUGGCAUUUGCCUUUCUGCAAAAAUUAGAUCAAAUUACCUACCAUAGGAUUUAGAUCCAUUCGGCAAGAUCUUUCCAUUGCACACAUAGUUUUCUUUCUCCUUUUUAUUUGCUAGAUAUAUCUUAGCUUCCAAAAUUGACCCUCUUCAUUCAUUUGGAGCUAAAAUAAAUUAACAAUAAAAAUGAAAAUAUAUGUUCCUCAUGCCAUUUGUUUCCUAAGGGACAUUCAAGGUCCUUCACAUCCUAAGGAGAGAGGUUCAGCCAGUCUUCAUCGUUGGCAUUAAGUAACCUUUUCCGAUUACACACAACCCUCUAUCCCUCCUUAAAAUAGAAAGUCUUAAUGCUUACUUUUGUGUUUUCACUGUUGACUUUAUGAUUAUCACCCAUAAAGUACGUUACUAAGAAGCCUGGCAUACUGGGCCAUACUUUUCUAAACAUAGUGAAUGUAUAUUCUUCAGACUCUUAAAAUAUAUAUAAUGCCUCUUUUUACAGAGAGAAAUACAUGUAUGCUACAUCUAUAUAGCUCAAUUUUUUUAUUCCCUGGAUAGAAGAACAUGCCAAGGCAGAGUAAACUUUAGAAGAGCAAGAGAAUAAAUGAAUGGACAGAAAUAGAGGUGAAGGAAGAGUAAAGCUAAAGCCUUUAAACUGCCCUAAGAAGCAGUACGCCACAGACUGUUCAGCUCCAUUAUUUCACGAGGGACACACAUGAAGUAAAACCAUGCAGAACUUUACCAUCACCUGCCUUUCAUGGCUGGGUGCUGGCCAGCUGACCUCUUGGCCACCUGGGUGUGCUACAGGAAGCUACUACGUGCUGGCUGCUUGUGGGACUGUAUGCUCAGCUGUGUCAUUGCUGCUCCUUGGAAGGAAAGGGAAUAGAUCUGUGGAACUGUGGUCCCCAUCUGAGCAGCUUUCACUGCAAAGGUGGACAAUGCCUUUUGAGAAUGCUGCUAAGGGCAGUGAAAGGAAAUGACAAAUCCUCCUAUACUCCUGUAUAAUUCUCUGUCCCUGGAGAGAGCUUGCCGAGACUCUGUGUUGCAAAGGUGUUCCCUACUCUUUUUUUUUUUUUUUUUUUUUUAAAGUGGGAGUGCACUGAUGAAUAGGCACAAAGCUGAGGUAAGGUAUGAGGCAGGCAUGCCGAGUCCAGCUCCAACUCUAUAACCAUUCAAGUUUGAUUUGUAUUUUGAACUGUCGCUAUAUGGUUUACAAGGGUAAAAGUGUGAGUAAAGACAGAUUUUCCUUCUAUAAAUUGUGGAAGGGUAAGGGGGAAGUGACCGAUCUCAUUUAAAGACUUCAUUGAAGCCGUGUUGAAUGAUGGUGCCAUUGCCUGUCUGUGCCUCACUGUCAGAAUGUAAGCCCUUUUAUAAUUAAGAGAAGCCACAGAAGUCAGAGUAAAGUACAACAGAUCCAGAAAGAGCUGGAAACUUAAGGAAGAAAUAAAAAAAAAAUAAAAACAAUAGACAUGGACUGGAGAAGAUAUUUUAUUUAUUUGUUACUAGUAGUUAAAAUGAUGUACAAAAUGCUGGGAAGAAAAAAUUCCAAUUCUAUUCAGUUACAAAAUAAUUAAAACUUCAUUUUAAACCAAGUUUUGCUUUGUGAGACUGAGCAUGAAAACACUGCAGCCUUAGGUUAUACAGUCCAUUGUUUUUAGAAUAAAGCAGACAUUUAAAUACA
Long non-coding RNA from Numida meleagris (helmeted guineafowl), 7547 nucleotides. RefSeq lists it as uncharacterized. The record is from RefSeq and is a predicted model, not a curated record. The transcript is spliced from 2 exons. NCBI's taxonomy places the organism in Eukaryota, Metazoa, Chordata, Aves, Galliformes, Numididae.